This 429-nucleotide ribosomal RNA is filed under the name Bacteroidota bacterium. RNAcentral's name for it is "Bacteroidetes bacterium partial 16S ribosomal RNA". It matches the Rfam family "Bacterial small subunit ribosomal RNA", at positions 355 to 776 of the family's 1533-position model. Lineage: Bacteria; Pseudomonadati; Bacteroidota. The record is from RNAcentral.
UAGGGAAUCUUCGGCAAUGGGGGGAACCCUGACCGAGCAACGCCGCGUGAGUGAAGAAGGUUUUCGGAUCGUAAAGCUCUGUUGUUAAGGAAGAACGAGUGUGAGAAUGGAAAGUUCAUACUGUGACGGUACUUAACCAGAAAGGGACGGCUAACUACGUGCCAGCAGCCGCGGUAAUACGAUGGUCCCGAGCGUUGUCCGGAUUUAUUGGGCGUAAAGCGAGCGCAGGCGGUUAGAUAAGUCUGAAGUUAAAGGCAGUGGCUCAACCAUUGUAUGCUUUGGAAACUGUUUAACUUGAGUGCAGAAGGGGAGAGUGGAAUUCCAUGUGUAGCGGUGAAAUGCGUAGAUAUAUGGAGGAACACCGGUGGCGAAAGCGGCUCUCUGGUCUGUAACUGACGCUGAGGCUCGAAAGCGUGGGGAGCGAACAGG